RNAcentral lists this ribosomal RNA (101 nucleotides) under uncultured bacterium. RNAcentral's name for it is "partial 16S ribosomal RNA". The record is from RNAcentral.
CCUUCGGGUCGUAAAGUUCUUUCGUCUGGGAACAAAAGAAGUUGGCUAACAUCCAGCUAAUCUGAGGGUACCAGAAGAAGAAGCACCGGCUAACUCCGUGC